CUACGUGCCAGCAGCCGCGGUAAUACGGAAGGUCCGGGCGUUAUCCGGAAUUAUUGGGUUUAAAGGGAGCGCAGGCGGGAGUGUAAGUCAGCUGUUAAAUAUCAGGGCCCAACUCUGUUAUGCAGUUGAAACUAUAUUUCUUGAGUACGCACAGGGAUGGCGGAAUUCAGGGUGUAGCGGUGAAAUGCUUAGAUAUCCUGAAGAACUCCGAUCGCGAAGGCAGCCAUCCGGAGCGUAACUGACGCUGAGGCUCGAAGGUGCGGGUAUCGAACAGGAUUAGAUACCCUGGUAGUCCGCACGGUAAACGAUGAAUACUCGCAGUUCGGCCGUUUAGGUCGAGUUGUCCAGCGAAAGCGUUAAGUAUUCCACCUGGGGAGUACGCCGGCAACGGUGAAACUCAAAGGAAUUGGCGGGGGCCCGCACAAGCGGAGGAACAUGUGGUUUAAUUCGAUGAUACGCGAGGAACCUUACCCGGGCUUGAAC
This 483-nucleotide ribosomal RNA is filed under the name uncultured bacterium. Its description in RNAcentral is "bacterial SSU rRNA". It matches the Rfam family "Bacterial small subunit ribosomal RNA", at positions 501 to 986 of the family's 1533-position model. The record is from RNAcentral.